UACAGAGACUGCAAGCGUUAUUCGGAUUUACUGGGCGUAAAGGGCGCGCAGGCGGCCGUGUGUGUCAGGUGUGAAAUCCCGAGGCUCAACCUCGGAACUGCGGCUUAAACUACAUGGCUAGAGUAUUGGAGAGGGUAACGGAAUUCACGGUGUAGCAGUGAAAUGCGUAGAUAUCGUGAGGAACACCAGAGGCGAAGGCGGUUACCUGGACAAUUACUGACGCUGAGGCGCGAAAGCGUGGGGAGCAAAAGGG
RNAcentral lists this ribosomal RNA (253 nucleotides) under uncultured bacterium. Its description in RNAcentral is "partial 16S ribosomal RNA". It matches the Rfam family "Bacterial small subunit ribosomal RNA", at positions 524 to 776 of the family's 1533-position model. The record is from RNAcentral.